This 1184-nucleotide long non-coding RNA is filed under the name Equus caballus (horse). Its description in RNAcentral is "lncRNA (ENSECAG00000038676.3)". Lineage: Eukaryota; Metazoa; Chordata; Mammalia; Perissodactyla; Equidae. The record is from RNAcentral.
CACAGUCGACGCUUCCCGAAAAACUCGGGGGCCCCCUCCCCGCUGGCGUGCACCCCGUGAUUGCGCCGCGGCCGGCACUUCCGCCCCGCGGGCCCUGCGGCCCGGGCAGGGCGCACGCUCCGCGCCCUGCGCCCGCGGUCCUGCCCCCUCGGAGGCGCCCGCGCCCGGGGAGGGCUGGGGGUUCCCGCGGCGCCCGCGGGCGGAGGGUGGGGGAAAGGAAGGAGGAUUUGCAACAAUACCUCGGGGAGGAGGCAGCCGGGGCAGCGGCGGCGGCGGCGGCGGCUGGAGGCGGAGGCAGAGGCGCAGGAGGAGGUGCCGGGCACUCCCCCUCCCAUUGUCCCCAGCCCCGGCCAGGCCCGGCCCCGCGCCCCGCACCGCGCCCCGCGCCCCGCGCCCCGGGCCGUGCAGGCAGCCCUUACCUUGCAGCGCCCGGCUCUCCCCCGCUCGCUAAAGCUACUUAUCCCGGGAAAGCUCGCGCGGGGCCCGGGAGCGAACCCACAGACAAAAAGUGAAACUUCGGCAGGGCUGGAGCGGCUGCUGGUUGGUGCCUUUCCCCCUCCUUCCUCCCCACCGUCCCCACCCCCUCCCCUCGGUCUCCCGUGCGGUGCCCUGAGAGCUGGAGGCUGACGUCAGGGGCCUGAAUUCCUGACUUUGCCUGCACGCAUUUGUCCAUGUAAGGGAAUAACACUGGAUUAAAAGGCAGUUCAAGGGGCCGGCCCCGUGGCCGAGAGAUUAAGUUCACGCACUCCACUUCGGCAGCCCAGAGUUUCGCCGGUUUGGAUCCUGGGUGUGGACAUGGCACCGCUCAUCAAGCCAUGCUGAGGGGGCACCCCGCAUGCCACAACUAGAAGGACCCACAACUAAAAAUACACAACUAUGUACCGGGGGAUUUUGGGAGAAAAAUGAAAAAUAAAAUAAAAUAAAAUAAAGACAGUUCAAGGCAUGCCAAGAGGAAUUGUGAUUAUCUGCUCUAGGAGCAUUGUCCACACCAUGAAUUAUUAUGCACCCUGGACCUGUCUCUUUCGAGUCACUGACAAGUGGAGGAGACACCUAGUUUAAAACUCUAGCUUAGCCUCUGACCAGUGAAAACAUGUAGACCAUGUCGAAUUAGCAACAAAUACCUCCCCCUCUCCACUGGGAGAGGACUGGGUGGCAGAAGCAGAAGUUUCCUUUCAACACACCAC